GGGGGAGCGAUGGAAGGAGACGGAGACGAGGUGGCCGACGAGGUGGUGGUAGUGGUGGUGCAGGCGGCAGAAGUUGAGAUCGGAGGUGGAGGGGGGACCAGCUGGGUCGGAGGGAUCAAAGCAGUCGGUAACAUUUAUGAGAAGUUUGCUGAAGAACAUCCUCUGAUGAAUAAGGUGAAGUGAAAAAUGAAUUGCAGGUAUCUCUGUAAUAGAAUGAAACAUGAUUUCAGCCAAAGGAUCUUUAUGGAGACAAGAAAAUUCAAAGAGGAACAUGCUUGCAAAGUAUCCUCGUAACCUGUGCUUUUAUAAAGUUUACCACAAUCCAGAUUCAUUAUCUGUCCCACUGGAAAGACUUGGACUGAACAGGUUGGCUGGAGUCCUCCUGGAAUGGAACAGCAGAAAAGGCUCACUAAACCUCUGUUGUAAUACAAAGAAACCCGCCCAUAACAUGUUGUUUUUUUCUUAUGAGUAGUGUAAGGGAGUGUAGGGCAACCCAUGGGCAGUUUUAUAACAUAUGCUAAUGCAAUCCUGUACCUGAUUUAUAUAAUCCUACCAUUUCUGUAUUUGCUCCAAGUCCUCAUUCCUACCUCUUUCUUCUUCUCAGUCAGUCACAUACAAGAGAAAAUAGUUUCUCAAUGUAUUUAAUCCUGGGCUCUUUCAAUUUCCAUUUGUCUCCGAUCUAACAGGAUCAGUGUUAUUCUGGUAAUAAGAUUAUCACCAGCCAAUCAUUAUUUUUAUUUAUUUGUAUUACAGUGUAAUCUAUAGAGCCAAUCCAAAUUGUGUUAGGAUAUUGCAUAAACACACAACAAAAAGAAGGUCCCUGCCCCAAGGAGCUAACAAUCUGAGAAUAAAAUGAGAGACAACAGGAGAAUACACCAAACAGAUUGGUGAGCACAAGAUAACAGCAAUUGUAACUCACUGUCUAAUGAUGUGAUGCCAUUCUCAGAAGUGUUACUUUGGGAAGCAAGACAUCUGGGCAUUUGUGAUAGCAUCAACAUACAAAGAGACAUGCCAUGAAAGCAACACACCAUCCCAGUUUGAAGCCAUGGCUCUCCAACAACCCCACUGUUUAGAACAGGGAUCGGCAACUUUUGGCACGCAGCUCACCAGGAUAA
Molecule: non-coding RNA, 1115 nt
Organism: Chrysemys picta bellii (western painted turtle)
Lineage: Eukaryota; Metazoa; Chordata; Testudines; Emydidae
Source: RefSeq, a predicted model, not a curated record